UCUCUAGCUUCGGAGGGCAGAGA
This 23-nucleotide non-coding RNA is filed under the name Rattus norvegicus (Norway rat). Lineage: Eukaryota; Metazoa; Chordata; Mammalia; Rodentia; Muridae. The record is from RNAcentral.